UCGAUUGAGAACGCAGCGAAACGCGAUAGGUAAUGUGAAUUGCAGAAUUCCGUGAAUCAUCGAAUCUUUGAACGCACCUUGCGCUCCAUGGUAUUCCGUGGAGCAUGCCUGUUUGAGUGCCGCGAAUUCUCCCUCCCCUUACGGUGGCCGAAAGGCCGAAGUAGGGCGGACGGGGUAGGAUGGGUGUUUGCUGCCUGGGGAUUGUACCAGGCUCGCCCGAAAUGCAUAAGCGCCAGGACCCUCGCUACCGCUCUCUAGGGAAGAGUGGCUAAGCGACCGCUGAGCAUGGCAUGAUACGUCAUUUGCUGUGUGUGGGCGGCCGGUUGGAGAGGUGUCUGCUUUACCAGCCCUAUUUUAAUUCUGGUCUCAAAUCAGGUAGGAUCACCCGCUGAACUUAAGCAUAUCA
This 406-nucleotide ribosomal RNA is filed under the name Malassezia sympodialis. RNAcentral's name for it is "eukaryotic LSU rRNA". The stretch from base 1 to 122 matches the Rfam family "5.8S ribosomal RNA", at positions 33 to 154 of the family's 154-position model. The record is from RNAcentral. Lineage: Eukaryota; Fungi; Basidiomycota; Malasseziomycetes; Malasseziales; Malasseziaceae.